UCCCCUGUAGCUCAGUCGGUAGAGCAAGCGGCUGUUAACCGCUGGGUCGUAGGUUCGAGUCCUACCGGGGGAG
RNAcentral lists this transfer RNA (73 nucleotides) under Planctomycetota bacterium. Its description in RNAcentral is "Planctomycetes bacterium tRNA-Asn". It matches the Rfam family "tRNA". Rfam says of the family: Transfer RNA (tRNA) molecules are approximately 80 nucleotides in length. Their secondary structure includes four short double-helical elements and three loops (D, anti-codon, and T loops). Lineage: Bacteria; Pseudomonadati; Planctomycetota. The record is from RNAcentral. RNAcentral also lists the same sequence under 4 other names.